GAGCCCUUAAUUAUUUGGUGAGACUUGAGAGCUGACCAGCAGAGCAGAGGAGCCUUACUCUUCCUCACAUUUGGCGUCCUGCUGAGGAAGCUGCAGUUGAACCCGUCCCUGAAGGGAAUCAGCCAUGUGGUGGUGGAUGAGGUUCACGAGAGGGACAUUAUUAACACAGACCUGCUGCUGGCUCUACUGCGUUUGAGCUUAAAGGAGAACCCUGACCUACGAGUGGUGCUUAUGAGCGCUACUGGGGACAAGCAGAGGCUGUCCCAGUACUUUGGGGUCUACCAAAUUGUUAAAGUGCCUCAAUUCAUACACCCAGUGAGGGACAGAUACCUGGAGGAAGUGCUGAGAGAGAUGGGACGCCCAAGUCCAAAAGAGAGUGGAGACAGACAAGCAGGGAGGAAGAGAGGAUGUUACACCAGAUGUAGAUUUAGUAGCUGAUGUUAUCGAGCACAUUGACAGACGUGGUGAGCCAGGUGCAGUGUUGUGUUUCCUCCCUGGUUGGCAGGACAUCAGGGCUGUUCAAGAGAAACUGGAGGAGAGGCACCACUUCUCCUCAGGCUCACAGAUGAUCUUGCCAUUGCACUCUAGUUUAUCAGUAGCAGACCAGCAGGCAGUGUUCCAGCGCCCCCAAGUGACCCAGAGGAAGAUUGUUCUCACCACUAACAUUGCUGAGACCUCCAUCACCAUAUAUGACAUCGUCCAUGUGGUGGAUGCAGGAACUCAUAAAGAGCAGAAUUAUGACCCACGGACUAAGGUCUCUUGACUGGACACAGUUUGGAUAUCUCAUUCUAAUGUCAUUCAGAGAAAAGGGAGAGCAGG
Molecule: long non-coding RNA, 819 nt
Organism: Sebastes umbrosus (honeycomb rockfish)
Lineage: Eukaryota; Metazoa; Chordata; Actinopteri; Perciformes; Sebastidae
Exons: 5
Source: RefSeq, a predicted model, not a curated record